RNAcentral lists this ribosomal RNA (253 nucleotides) under uncultured bacterium. RNAcentral describes it as "partial 16S ribosomal RNA". It matches the Rfam family "Bacterial small subunit ribosomal RNA", at positions 524 to 776 of the family's 1533-position model. The record is from RNAcentral.
UACGUAGGGUGCAAGCGUUGUCCGGAAUUAUUGGGCGUAAAGCGCGUGUAGGCGGCUCGGUAAGUCUGCUGUGAAAGUCCAGGGCUCAACCCUGGGAUGCCGGUGGAUACUGUCGAGCUCGAGUCCGGAAGAGGCGAGUGGAAUUCCUGGUGUAGCGGUGAAAUGCGCAGAUAUCAGGAGGAACACCUAUGGCGAAGGCAGCUCGCUGGGACGUGACUGACGCUGAGACGCGAAAGCGUGGGGAGCAAACAGG